UACGUAGGGUGCGAGCGUUUGUCCGGAAUUAUUGGGCGUAAAGAGCUUGUAGGUGGCUCGUUGCGUCGGGAGUGAAAACCUGCGGCUUAACCGCAGGCCUGCUUCCGAUACGGGCGAGCUAGAGUUCGGCAGGGGAGACUGGAAUUCCUGGUGUAGCGGUGGAAUGCGCAGAUAUCAGGAGGAACACCGGUGGCGAAGGCGGGUCUCUGGGCCGAUACUGACACUGAGAAGCGAAAGCGUGGGGAGCGAACAGG
This 254-nucleotide ribosomal RNA is filed under the name uncultured bacterium. RNAcentral's name for it is "partial 16S ribosomal RNA". It matches the Rfam family "Bacterial small subunit ribosomal RNA", at positions 524 to 776 of the family's 1533-position model. The record is from RNAcentral.